This 497-nucleotide ribosomal RNA is filed under the name uncultured bacterium. Its description in RNAcentral is "partial 16S ribosomal RNA". It matches the Rfam family "Bacterial small subunit ribosomal RNA", at positions 355 to 867 of the family's 1533-position model. The record is from RNAcentral.
UGGGGAAUAUUGCACAAUGGGCGAAAGCCUGAUGCAGCAACGCCGCGUGAGUGAUGAAGGUCUUCGGAUUGUAAAGCUCUGUCUUUUGGGACGAUAAUGACGGUACCAAAGGAGGAAGCCACGGCUAACUACGUGCCAGCAGCCGCGGUAAUACGUAGGUGGCGAGCGUUGUCCGGAUUUACUGGGCGUAAAGGGUGCGUAGGCGGAUGUUUAAGUGAGAUGUGAAAUACCCGGGCUUAACUUGGGUGCUGCAUUUCAAACUGGAUAUCUAGAGUGCAGGAGAGGAGAAUGGAAUUCCUAGUGUAGCGGUGAAAUGCGUAGAGAUUAGGAAGAACACCAGUGGCGAAGGCGAUUCUCUGGACUGUAACUGACGCUGAGGCACGAAAGCGUGGGUAGCAAACAGGAUUAGAUACCCUGGUAGUCCACGCCGUAAACGAUGAGUACUAGGUGUAGGAGGUAUCGACCCCUUCUGUGCCGCAGUAAAACACAUUAAGUAC